AGCGAACGCUGGCGGCAGGCCUAACACGUGCAAGUCGAACGAACUCUUCGGAGUUAGUGGCGGACGGGUGAGUAACACGUGGGAACGUGCCUUUAGGUUCGGAAUAACUCAGGGAAACUUGUGCUAAUACCGAAUGUGCCCUUCGGGGGAAAGAUUUAUCGCCUUUAGAGCGGCCCGCGUCUGAUUAGCUAGUUGGUGAGGUAAAGGCUCACCAAGGCGACGAUCAGUAGCUGGUCUGAGAGGAUGAUCAGCCACAUUGGGACUGAGACACGGCCCAAACUCCUACGGGAGGCAGCAGUGGGGAAUCUUGCGCAAUGGGCGAAAGCCUGACGCAGCCAUGCCGCGUGAAUGAUGAAGGUCUUAGGAUUGUAAAAUUCUUUCACCGGGGACGAUAAUGACGGUACCCGGAGAAGAAGCCCCGGCUAACUUCGUG
RNAcentral lists this ribosomal RNA (433 nucleotides) under uncultured bacterium. RNAcentral's name for it is "partial 16S ribosomal RNA". It matches the Rfam family "Bacterial small subunit ribosomal RNA", at positions 29 to 507 of the family's 1533-position model. The record is from RNAcentral.